This 1030-nucleotide ribosomal RNA is filed under the name Escherichia coli. Its description in RNAcentral is "partial 23S ribosomal RNA". It matches the Rfam family "Bacterial large subunit ribosomal RNA", at positions 344 to 1376 of the family's 2925-position model. The record is from RNAcentral. Lineage: Bacteria; Pseudomonadati; Pseudomonadota; Gammaproteobacteria; Enterobacterales; Enterobacteriaceae.
GGAAAGGCGCGCGAUACAGGGUGACAGCCCCGUACACAAAAAUGCACAUGCUGUGAGCUCGAUGAGUAGGGCGGGACACGUGGUAUCCUGUCUGAAUAUGGGGGGACCAUCCUCCAAGGCUAAAUACUCCUGACUGACCGAUAGUGAACCAGUACCGUGAGGGAAAGGCGAAAAGAACCCCGGCGAGGGGAGUGAAAAAGAACCUGAAACCGUGUACGUACAAGCAGUGGGAGCACGCUUAGGCGUGUGACUGCGUACCUUUUGUAUAAUGGGUCAGCGACUUAUAUUCUGUAGCAAGGUUAACCGAAUAGGGGAGCCGAAGGGAAACCGAGUCUUAACUGGGCGUUAAGUUGCAGGGUAUAGACCCGAAACCCGGUGAUCUAGCCAUGGGCAGGUUGAAGGUUGGGUAACACUAACUGGAGGACCGAACCGACUAAUGUUGAAAAAUUAGCGGAUGACUUGUGGCUGGGGGUGAAAGGCCAAUCAAACCGGGAGAUAGCUGGUUCUCCCCGAAAGCUAUUUAGGUAGCGCCUCGUGAAUUCAUCUCCGGGGGUAGAGCACUGUUUCGGCAAGGGGGUCAUCCCGACUUACCAACCCGAUGCAAACUGCGAAUACCGGAGAAUGUUAUCACGGGAGACACACGGCGGGUGCUAACGUCCGUCGUGAAGAGGGAAACAACCCAGACCGCCAGCUAAGGUCCCAAAGUCAUGGUUAAGUGGGAAACGAUGUGGGAAGGCCCAGACAGCCAGGAUGUUGGCUUAGAAGCAGCCAUCAUUUAAAGAAAGCGUAAUAGCUCACUGGUCGAGUCGGCCUGCGCGGAAGAUGUAACGGGGCUAAACCAUGCACCGAAGCUGCGGCAGCGACGCUGAUGCGUUGUUGGGUAGGGGAGCGUUCUGUAAGCCUGCGAAGGUGUGCUGUGAGGCAUGCUGGAGGUAUCAGAAGUGCGAAUGCUGACAUAAGUAACGAUAAAGCGGGUGAAAAGCCCGCUCGCCGGAAGACCAAGGGUUCCUGUCCAACGUUAAUCGGGGCA